GGGAAGUAUUGGACAAUGGGCGGCAAGCCUGAUCCAGCCAUGCCGCGUGAGUGACGAAGGCCUUAGGGUUGUAAAGCUCUUUUGGCGGGGAAGAUAAUGACGGUACCCGCAGAAUAAGCUCCGGCUAACUUCGUGCC
RNAcentral lists this ribosomal RNA (137 nucleotides) under uncultured bacterium. RNAcentral's name for it is "partial 16S ribosomal RNA". It matches the Rfam family "Bacterial small subunit ribosomal RNA", at positions 356 to 509 of the family's 1533-position model. The record is from RNAcentral.